GCGUGAGUGAUGAAGGCCUUCGGGUUGUAAAACUCUUUCGACGGGGACGAUAAUGACGGUACCCGUAGAAGAAGCUCCGGCUAACUUCGUGCCAGCAGCCGCGGUAAUACGAAGGGGGCUAGCGUUGUUCGGAAUUACUGGGCGUAAAGCGCGCGCAGGCGGUUCUUCAAGUCAGUGGUGAAAGCCCGGAGCUCAACUUCGGAAUUGCCAUUGAAACUGUAGAACUUGAGGACGAGAGAGGUGAGUGGAAUUCCCAGUGUAGAGGUGAAAUUCGU
Molecule: ribosomal RNA, 275 nt
Filed under: uncultured bacterium
Lineage: Bacteria
Description: partial 16S ribosomal RNA
Rfam family: Bacterial small subunit ribosomal RNA
Source: RNAcentral